This 56-nucleotide small nuclear RNA is filed under the name Cervus elaphus hippelaphus. Lineage: Eukaryota; Metazoa; Chordata; Mammalia; Artiodactyla; Cervidae. The record is from RNAcentral.
GUGCUCUCUUCGACAGCACAUAUACUGAAAAAUUCUGUAAUGAAUAUAUGGAAGAU